This 279-nucleotide ribosomal RNA is filed under the name uncultured bacterium. Its description in RNAcentral is "partial 16S ribosomal RNA". It matches the Rfam family "Bacterial small subunit ribosomal RNA", at positions 506 to 784 of the family's 1533-position model. The record is from RNAcentral.
UGCCAGCAGCCGCGGUAAUACGGAGGGUGCGAGCGUUAAUCGGAUUUAUUGGGCGUAAAGGGUGCGUAGGCGGUGGGGUCAGUCAGCUGUGAAAUUUCGGAGCUCAACUUCGAAACUGCAGUUGAAACUGCCCUUCUAGAGGGUAGGCGGAGAAAGUGGAAAUCCACAAGUAGCGGUGGAAUGCGUAGAUAUGUGGAAGAACACCUGUGGCGAAAGCGACUUUCUAGCUUAUACCUGACGCUGAGGCACGAAGGCAAGGGGAGCAAACAGGAUUAGAUA